GAUGAACGCUGGCGGCGUGCCUAACACAUGCAAGUCGAGCGAAGCACUUACUUUAGAUUUCUUCGGAAUGACGAAGUUUGUGACUGAGCGGCGGACGGGUGAGUAACGCGUGGGCAACCUGCCCUGUACAGGGGGAUAACAGUUAGAAAUGACUGCUAAUACCGCAUAAGCCCACAGCUUCGCAUGAAGCAGUGGGAAAAACUCCGGUGGUACAGGAUGGGCCCGCGUCUGAUUAGCUAGUUGGUAAGGUAACGGCUUACCAAGGCGACGAUCAGUAGCCGACAUGAGAGGGUGACCGGCCACAUUGGGACUGAGACACGGCCCAAACUCCUACGGGAGGCAGCAGUGGGGAAUAUUGCACAAUGGGGGAAACCCUGAUGCAGCGACGCCGCGUGAGCGAUGAAGUAUUUCGGUAUGUAAAGCUCUAUCAGCAGGGAAGAAAGUGACGGUACCUGACUAAGAAGCCCCGGCUAACUACGUG
This 481-nucleotide ribosomal RNA is filed under the name uncultured bacterium. RNAcentral's name for it is "partial 16S ribosomal RNA". It matches the Rfam family "Bacterial small subunit ribosomal RNA", at positions 28 to 507 of the family's 1533-position model. The record is from RNAcentral.